GUGGGGAAUAUUGGACAAUGGGGGGAACCCUGAUCCAGCCAUGCCGCGUGUGUGAAGAAGGCCUUUUGGUUGUAAAGCACUUUAAGCGAGGAGGAGGCUACCGAGAUUAAUACUCUUGGAUAGUGGACGUUACUCGCAGAAUAAGCACCUGCUAACUCUGUGCCAGCAGCCGCGGUAAUACAGAGGGUGCAAGCGUUAAUCGGAUUUACUGGGCGUAAAGCGCGCGUAGGUGGCCAAUUAAGUCAAAUGUGAAAUCCCCGAGCUUAACUUGGGAAUUGCAUUCGAUACUGGUUGGCUAGAGUAUGGGAGAGGAUGGUAGAAUUCCAGGUGUAGCGGUGAAAUGCGUAGAGAUCUGGAGGAAUACCGAUGGCGAAGGCAGCCAUCUGGCCUAAUACUGACACUGAGGUGCGAAAGCAUGGGGAGCAAACAGGAUUAGAAACCCGUGUAGUCC
Molecule: ribosomal RNA, 451 nt
Filed under: uncultured bacterium
Lineage: Bacteria
Description: partial 16S ribosomal RNA
Rfam family: Bacterial small subunit ribosomal RNA
Source: RNAcentral